CUACGCUCCUACGGGAGGCAGCAGUGGGGAAUAUGCACAAUGGGCGCAAGCCUGAUGCAGCCAUGCCGCGUGUAUGAAGAAGGCCUUCGGGUUGUAAAGUACUUUCAGCAGUGAGGAAGGUGGGUAUGUUAAUAGCAUACUCAUUUGACGUUAGCUGCAGAAGAAGCACCGGCUAACUCCGUGCCAGCAGCCGCGGUAAUACGGAGGGUGCGAGCGUUAAUCGGAAUUACUGGGCGUAAAGCGCAUGCAGGUGGUUUGUUAAGUCAGAUGUGAAAGCCCGGGGCUCAACCUCGGAAUUGCAUUUGAAACUGGCAAACUAGAGUACUGUAGAGGGGGUAGAAUUUCAGGUGUAGCGGUGAAAUGCGUAGAGAUCUGAAGGAAUACCGGUGGCGAAGGCGGCCCCCUGGACAGAUACUGACACUCAGAUGCGAAAGCGUGGGGAGCAAACAGGAUUAGAUACCCUGGUAG
This 468-nucleotide ribosomal RNA is filed under the name uncultured bacterium. RNAcentral describes it as "bacterial SSU rRNA". It matches the Rfam family "Bacterial small subunit ribosomal RNA", at positions 331 to 793 of the family's 1533-position model. The record is from RNAcentral.